GACGGAAGGUGCAAGCGUUGCUCGGAAUCACUGGGCGUAAAGGGUGCGUAGGCGGCUUGGUAGGUCUGGUGUGAAAGCCCCGGGCUCAGCCCGGGAAGGGCACUAGAAACUGCCAAGCUAGAGUGCCGGAGGGGAGAGUGGAAUUCCUGGUGUAGCGGUGAAAUGCGUAGAGAUCAGGAGGAAUACCGGUGGCGAAAGCGACUCUCUGGACGGCAACUGACGCUGAGGCACGAAAGCCAGGGGAGCAAACGGG
RNAcentral lists this ribosomal RNA (253 nucleotides) under uncultured bacterium. RNAcentral's name for it is "partial 16S ribosomal RNA". It matches the Rfam family "Bacterial small subunit ribosomal RNA", at positions 524 to 776 of the family's 1533-position model. The record is from RNAcentral.